Molecule: long non-coding RNA, 471 nt
Filed under: Phasianus colchicus (ring-necked pheasant)
Lineage: Eukaryota; Metazoa; Chordata; Aves; Galliformes; Phasianidae
Description: lncRNA (ENSPCLG00000015161.1)
Source: RNAcentral
UUCUAUGCGGCUCUAUGGGGCUCUAUGGGAUUCCAUGGGGCUCUAUGGGACCCACCAGGACCCCGACCCCAUAGAGGAGCCCUAAAGCCCCGCAGCCCUGCCCCCAACAUCCUAUGGGCUUCUAUGGGGAUCUAUGGGGCUCUACUGGGGCUCUAUGGGAUUCUAUGAGGCUCUAUGGGGCUCUAUGGGAUCCACCAGGACGCCGACCCCAUAGAGGAGCCCUACCCCCAACAUCCUAUGGGGCUCUACUGGGGUUCUAUGGGAUCUAUGGGGCUCUAUGGGGCUCUAUGGGGCUGUAUUGGGGUUCUAUGGGAUUCUAUGGGUCUAUGAUUCUAUCCCCAUCUCAUACCCCACACCCCCAGCCCCCACCCCACUCCAAUAUCCCACCCCACAUCCAUCCCAUACCCCACCUCCCCAUCCCACACCCCACACCCCAUAUCCCCCAUCCUACCCCACAUCCCACCCCAAUAU